GAUGAACGCUAGCGGCAGGCUUAACACAUGCAAGUCGAGGGGCAGCACGGGUAGCAAUACUUGGUGGCGACCGGCGCAAGGGUGCGUAACGCGUGAGCAACAUGCCCGUAUCAGGGGGAUAAUCCAUGGAAACGUGGUCUAAUACCCCAUAGUAAGUUUUUGGGGCAUCUCAAAGAUUUUAAAGCUUUGGUGGAUACGGAUUGGCUCGCGUGACAUUAGCUAGAUGGUAAGGUAACGGCUUACCAUGGCUACGAUGUCUAGGGGUUCUGAGAGGAAGGUCCCCCACACUGGAACUGAGACACGGUCCAGACUCCUACGGGAGGCAGCAGUGAGGAAUAUUGGACAAUGGAUGGAAAUCUGAUCCAGCCAUGCCGCGUGCAGGAAGACGGCCCUAUGGGUUGUAAACUGCUUUUGUAUGGGAGCAAUAAGAUCUACGUGUAGAUUGAUGAGAGUACCAUACGAAUAAGCACCGGCUAACUCCGUGCC
Molecule: ribosomal RNA, 486 nt
Filed under: uncultured bacterium
Lineage: Bacteria
Description: bacterial SSU rRNA
Rfam family: Bacterial small subunit ribosomal RNA
Source: RNAcentral